RNAcentral lists this transfer RNA (67 nucleotides) under Chorotypus fenestratus. RNAcentral describes it as "tRNA-Tyr". It matches the Rfam family "tRNA". From Rfam's summary of the family: Transfer RNA (tRNA) molecules are approximately 80 nucleotides in length. Their secondary structure includes four short double-helical elements and three loops (D, anti-codon, and T loops). Lineage: Eukaryota; Metazoa; Arthropoda; Insecta; Orthoptera; Chorotypidae. The record is from RNAcentral.
GGUAGGGUGGCUGAAGAUAAAGGCAAUAAACUGUAAAUUUAUUAAUGAGUUAUAAAUUCUCUUACCA